Long non-coding RNA from Carassius auratus (goldfish), 4856 nucleotides. RefSeq lists it as uncharacterized. The record is from RefSeq and is a predicted model, not a curated record. The transcript is spliced from 9 exons. NCBI's taxonomy places the organism in Eukaryota, Metazoa, Chordata, Actinopteri, Cypriniformes, Cyprinidae.
UUUAAUUUUAAAGACAGAGCAUGAAUUGCUGACAGAAAACAGGCAACAAUACCUGUAAAAUGGUGUGUAAUGUAAUAGACCAUAUUUGUUCAUGAAGUUGCGUUUUUACUUUAGUUUUAAAACUUAUCAUGUAACCAACUCGCUAUUUGUAUGCAUACUAGUAUUACUAUAUAACACAUCUAAAAUACAACAGGAAAGAAAUAUCACGUUUGUAGGACUUUUAUUUUGGCGACAUGUUAAAAACAGGAAGUAAGUUGGUAGAAAAGAACUCUGACGUUUCAUGGGACGAUUUCCCCUGUAGUAUUUCCAUAGUAACGUUAUUGCUGUUUUUGUUUGUCAUGGUCCAAGUAGCAAAAUAAAAUCAAUGCAUAUGAAAUAUAUACUUCUUACAAAUGACAAUCUUAGCGAAUCUCAAAUGCCAUAGUGGCAGUUUAAGAUGACAGCAGCACAUUAGUAGAUAAAGAUUCACCUAAAAGAAGUGUCCUGGAUCCGAGGGAUCUGGUCAGAUGGAUCACACUGAGGGAUCAGUCUAAAUCGUUUAUGUUUUUCAGAAGUCACGGGCCAAACCGGAGGAGGAUGAGUAUGACAGGAGUGUGACAGUGGAGAAUAACAUUGUAUUCGAACAUAAGGGACGUUUUUUUUUUUUUUCUUUAAAUCACGUCAGGUUUUUUUUUUUUUCUAUGUUUUUAAGUGGGAGCUUCAAAGAAAAUAGUAAAUAAAAGGAAGUAUAUUAAACUGUCUAAAUUAAAGGAGACGUUGGCAAAGAAAAACUCUCACAGAGGUCUGAUUUUAAACCUUCUUUAUGUACACUAUAUAGUAAGAAAGGAAAGAUUAGAGACCUAUUCUUACAGUCGAUAUUCUUUGUAUAAUAUUUAUUAUAUAUAUCUCACAUUGUCUGGCCAUUUUCUCUAGAACCACUCUGUGGCGCUCAGUUUAAUUUCCCAGCUGAAAGAGUCGAAGCGGGCUGUGAACAGCAUCCUGGUGAAUGAUAAUGAAGAUGAUGAUGAGAGAGUCAGCUGGAGUGGGGAACCUGCUGGAAGCAUCUCUUGGUCGGUGAAGGAAACCGCCUCCAGUAUCCGCUCAGGCAGCGAGCUGAGCUUUCCCAAAAUAGACACCUCUCUGUCAUUGUCUAAACAGGGUCUGGAUACUCCCUGAGCUCCCUGUUUAAAGGUAAUCUACAGUGAAGAGUUUGUGUAUGUUUUAGUUCAGUCAUAUUAGACUCACCAAUCUGACUCUGUUUAUAUUCCUUCAGCAAAGAGUUUCCAGUCCUUCUCCGAGUGUUAGUCCAAGUCAUUUAGAAUGAUUUAUGCUUCUCACGUGUUUGAUUGAAGUGUGUUUUGUUCACCGUUUUCUAGCUUUUAGUGACACAUCUGUUAGAACAUAUGCACCUGAGUUGAGAAAGCCCAAGUCAGAUGGACAGGUAACACACAUUGGCCACUAUUCAAACAUCUGGGGAUAAGAUUUCUAAUGUUGAAGAAAGACACAGAACACCAGCCUGUUAAACGCUAGAUCUUGUCAGUGACCUGAGAAGAAUGCAGAAAGGACGGGUAGGGGGCAGCAAAGAGCUUUAUAUAGAGAGUACUGAUACUGUAAAUACAAGAUGUACAACACUAGAAGGUCAGUGUAAAGGUGAAGUCAGGAGAUCUAAUAUCUUUGAAUAAAGCCAUUUAGUUAAUUCUCAGUUUCAGUAGGUGCAGGCCCCUUUCUUUUUCAUUUUAUAUUUUUAAAAUAUAUCUGCUGUCAUAUAGCAAAAUAUCAGUCACAUAAUUUUAUUUUGCUUACAAAAAGGAUUCCGUCAUAAUAUAUGGCUACAUUUGAAUGGCUGUAAAUGGUAAAAUAUGCUUUUCUCAUCUAAUUAAAAUGAUUCUUUCACAGGUUUUGUUCUCUAGAAAACUUCUGCUGCUAGAUGAAGCCGUGGCAGUUUAUGAUGGCACCCUCAUAACUGCUAAAUUCUCUUUCGAGAGUUAAUGGCGAGAGAUGUGGCUUUGCAUCAUUGCGUGCAUUAUUUAAAAGAAAUGGGACAACAAAAGCUUUUGGUUGAGUUGCUGAAGGCUCUUGGCAGGACAGAAGAUAUGGCGUUGAUGCAAUACAAAGAACACUUGAAUAUUAAAGAUGAAGGCCGAAGAAGAGACUUCCUCAAAAGUUCCCUCAGAUCUUUCAGAGGAAUUCAGUAGAGAGUUCAGAAUCAUCUGCUGCUGACCUUUAAUGACCUCUCUGUUUGUUCUCAGCCUUCCUUUCUCACAAGAUGAUGCCUCUCAUGUUCAAGAUCACUGACUAUACACUCCUCGAGAGACAAAUAAUCAUGGAGAGUGGUGGACAUUCUGCAGAAGAACAGCGCACCUGUAAACAUACACCAGUUUCCAUGAUGUAAUAAACCUGCUCAUUCUCCUCACACGUGCUUGUCCCAUGAUCUGCAGGUGCUGCAGGAGUACGUGAACCUCAUCGAUGACCCAGAGCUCAAGCUCAGCGUGGCUCUGAAAUAGAAAUGUCAUGACAUCGUCAUCAAUACAUACAGAGACCUGAAGGACCGGCAGCAGCUUGUUGUGUACAGAGAGAAGCUGGAACCAGACUCGUCUGAAUACAGGAAGGUCCAGGAACUCCUCAAUUACACGCAAUCAGAUGGAAAAACUGACAGUUGGAAAGAGUGACACGAGGCAGUGGUGGGCAGAUGUGUGUCAGAGCUCUUUCAUUGACAGUCUUACACAAAAAACACUAGAAAGCUGCUUAAUAUGGAGUUAAUCCUGAACAAACAGGAAUGAGAUCCUCACAGCCAUUGAACAAUUCAAAGAACCAGUGGAGCGAGUCAUUCAGAGUGAUUCUUUCACAAAUGCAUCUGUUCUGUAUGAUCAAACUGCCAACUCUACAGCUGAACAUUUCUAAAGGAAGGCUUUUACUGGUGGCUGACGUGAAGAGCGUACUAUUUCACCACUCACAUCUUUAUGUUAGCACGUGUAUGAAAUUUUUAAAAUUUCUGACACUCUUUUUAUUUUAGUUUAAAAAUAAUAUGAUACUGAACUGUUUAUAACAGUAAUACUGUUUAUAUUAGCAUACCGGUUUUCUGGUAAAUAUCUGACUGUAGAUAUGAAGAAGAUAAAAGCUGUGAAAGUUGUUUCAACAGUACAGAAUUUGACACAAUUACAGGGUAAACUCACAGUUUCUGUAAGUGGAGGCAGAUUAAUAACCACAAACGAGUGCACAGCCGCAGAAUGAGCCAGGAAGUUCCCACACUGUGUCGUUUUGAACCAUGAUGUAAACUGUGCAUCACAUAACCUUUUUCAUUGGAUUUCCACAAGUUUUGGUUCUUCUAGAAUCGUUGUGUGUACUCUAUACAUCUUAAAUUCAGAGCUAUUUGUGAAGCCAUUAAUGGUUUCCAGAAAAAAUCUAUAAACUCGUAUUAAUGAAAAACAGUAGAAAACACGUUUAGAAACUGAAGUCAAAGUGUCAUAUUUAUGAACCAAUAUAGUAGAUUUGACAUCCCAUUAUACAUUUUUAAGUUGGCGCUACCAAAUUCACACUUACUUUCAGUUCAUUUGCAAGACAUUUAUAAUGUUACAAAAAAUAUGUCAGAGAAUCUUGAAAAAAAAAAAAGGUUUUCACAGAAAUAUUAAGCAGCACAACUGUUUUUUUACAUUACUAAUGGCAAGAAAUGUUUCCUGAGCAGCAAAUCAGCAUAUAAGACUGAUUUCUGAAGGAUCAUGUGACACAGAAGACUGCAGUAAUGAUGCUGAAAAUACAGCUUUAAAACACAAGAGAAAAAGAAAACGCCAUUUUAAAAUAUAUUCAAAUUAUCACAAUUUCAUUAAAAAUGGUAAUGUUUCACAGUAUUUUUUGAUGAAAUAGUUGAUGAGCAAAUUAAACUUCUUCCAAAAAGAAAUCAAUAAAAAAAUUAAAUCAAUUACAAAGCCCAAACUUUUUCUUGGUAUAGUGUAUAUUUCUUAUAAACACCAAGACUAGGUCCAGAUCCAGCCCAAGACUUGUCCAGGUACAAACCUGUCUCAAAAAUAGACAAUUUUGCACAAUUUAUUGCAACAAAAUGCAUUUUAUUUGAUUUGUACUUCUUUUUUUUCAUCAAAAUGCAUUUUAAUUUCAUUAUGUUUAUAUAUUGUCUUUUUAAAUUAUUAGCUAAAUCCAAAAAUAUCAUUUGAUAAUAAUAGUAAAAAAAAUAUGUAUUUAAAGAUUCUAAACCUUUGUAUCAGGUUAUGAAAUUACAACUCUUACAAAUUUCAUAUAGACUAAGGUGCCCAGAAAAGGUGGAGAUGUCUUUCUACAACAAUGUGGGAUCAUGAAAAAAAAAUAAUUAAUAAUAAUUAAUAAUGAUCACUUUUCGUUUACUAGAAAUCCGUACACACAGACAUUUCAUGGCAAUGUUCAUAGUAUGCUGUUCGGUUUAAUCUUUAUUGCCUUGUCCAAACACCCACACCUACUUUUUUUUUUUUGCCACUUGAGGCCGCGUGCCCCCGACAGGAAGAAUGUGCACAAGACUGUCCAAAUCUUACAACCGCCAAUGCGCAGUGCCCUAGAUUUUAUUGAAGUAUGUUUUUGGCCAGAUAAAAAAUGUGCUAAGUAUCUGUACUUUCACUUGAGAAAAAUUGUGAGUACUUCUACACCUCUGCUUGAACCAGAUACAGGAAAUAGCUUAUGUCAUAGAAGUGGUCAGGUGCGUGUGGGUAUUUGGGCAAGGCUCGUUUUCUUCGUGUUUCCUUUUUUAGAACAUCAGGCCUGUGUUUGUUUUGUCUGUUUUCAAUAUGUAUAUGUGUUAAUGCUGAUUUUUUUUUUAGACCAGCUGAAAUAUUCUUCAUAUAAAUUUCGUCUGGUCGUGGCGGAGGUGUUGCAACAAUAUAUAGUGAUAUUCUCAA